Molecule: ribosomal RNA, 490 nt
Filed under: uncultured bacterium
Lineage: Bacteria
Description: partial 16S ribosomal RNA
Rfam family: Bacterial small subunit ribosomal RNA
Source: RNAcentral
GAUGAACGCUAGCUACAGGCUUAACACAUGCAAGUCGCGGGGCAGCAUGGGGGUUGCUUGCAACUCCCGAUGGCGACCGGCGCACGGGUGAGUAACGCGUAUCCAACCUGCCCUUCACCACGGGAUAACCCGGCGAAAGUCGGACUAAUACCGUAUGUUGUCCAUUGACGGCAUCCGAUUUGGACGAAAGGCUUUGCGGUGAAGGAUGGGGAUGCGUCCGAUUAGCCAGACGGCGGGGUAACGGCCCACCGUGGCUACGAUCGGUAGGGGUUCUGAGAGGAAGGUCCCCCACCCUGGAACUGAGACACGGUCCAGACUCCUACGGGAGGCAGCAGUGAGGAAUAUUGGUCAAUGGGCGUAAGCCUGAACCAGCCAAGUAGCGUGCAGGAUGACGGCCCUAUGGGUUGUAAACUGCUUUUAUGCGGGGAUAAAGUGGCCCACGUGUGGGCUUUUGCAGGUACCGCAUGAAUAAGGACCGGCUAAUUCCGUG